GACGAACGCUGGCGGCGUGCUUAACACAUGCAAGUCGAACGGAAAGGCCCUGCUUUUGUGGGGUGCUCGAGUGGCGAACGGGUGAGUAACACGUGAGUAACCUGCCCUUGACUUUGGGAUAACUUCAGGAAACUGGGGCUAAUACCGGAUAGGAGCUCCUGCUGCAUGGUGGGGGUUGGAAAGUUUCGGCGGUUGGGGAUGGACUCGCGGCUUAUCAGCUUGUUGGUGGGGUAGUGGCUUACCAAGGCUUUGACGGGUAGCCGGCCUGGGAGGGUGACCGGCAACAUUGGGACUGAGAUACGGCCCAGACUCCUACGGGAGGCAGCAGUGGGGAAUAUUGCACAAUGGGCGGAAGCCUGAUGCAGCAACGCCGCGUGCGGGAUGACGGCCUUCGGGUUGUAAACCGCUUUCGCCUGUGACGAAGCGUGAGUGACGGUAAUGGGUAAAGAAGCACCGGCUAACUACGUG
This 468-nucleotide ribosomal RNA is filed under the name uncultured bacterium. RNAcentral describes it as "partial 16S ribosomal RNA". It matches the Rfam family "Bacterial small subunit ribosomal RNA", at positions 28 to 507 of the family's 1533-position model. The record is from RNAcentral.